RNAcentral lists this ribosomal RNA (819 nucleotides) under Vibrio parahaemolyticus. RNAcentral's name for it is "partial 23S ribosomal RNA". It matches the Rfam family "Bacterial large subunit ribosomal RNA", at positions 398 to 1222 of the family's 2925-position model. Lineage: Bacteria; Pseudomonadati; Pseudomonadota; Gammaproteobacteria; Vibrionales; Vibrionaceae. The record is from RNAcentral.
UUCAGUGAAAUCGAGUAGGGCGGGACACGUGAUAUCCUGUCUGAAUAUGGGGGGACCAUCCUCCAAGGCUAAAUACUACUGACUGACCGAUAGUGAACCAGUACCGUGAGGGAAAGGCGAAAAGAACCCCUGUGAGGGGAGUGAAAUAGAACCUGAAACCGUGUACGUACAAGCAGUAGGAGCAGGCUUGUCCUGUGACUGCGUACCUUUUGUAUAAUGGGUCAGCGACUUAUAUUCAGUGGCAAGGUUAACCAUCUAGGGGAGCCGUAGGGAAACCGAGUCUUAACUGGGCGUUCAGUCUCUGGAUAUAGACCCGAAACCAGGUGAUCUAGCCAUGGGCAGGUUGAAGGUUGAGUAACAUCAACUGGAGGACCGAACCGACUAAUGUUGAAAAAUUAGCGGAUGACUUGUGGCUAGGGGUGAAAGGCCAAUCAAACCUGGAGAUAGCUGGUUCUCCCCGAAAGCUAUUUAGGUAGCGCCUCGGACGAAUACUACUGGGGGUAGAGCACUGUUAAGGCUAGGGGGUCAUCCCGACUUACCAACCCUUUGCAAACUCCGAAUACCAGUAAGUACUAUCCGGGAGACACACGGCGGGUGCUAACGUCCGUCGUGGAGAGGGAAACAACCCAGACCGCCAGCUAAGGUCCCAAAUUACUACUAAGUGGGAAACGAUGUGGGAAGGCUCAGACAGCCAGGAUGUUGGCUUAGAAGCAGCCAUCAUUUAAAGAAAGCGUAAUAGCUCACUGGUCGAGUCGGCCUGCGCGGAAGAUGUAACGGGGCUAAGUAGUAAACCGAAGCUGCGGCAAUAUACUUUUGUAU